This 431-nucleotide ribosomal RNA is filed under the name uncultured bacterium. RNAcentral's name for it is "partial 16S ribosomal RNA". It matches the Rfam family "Bacterial small subunit ribosomal RNA", at positions 29 to 507 of the family's 1533-position model. The record is from RNAcentral.
AACGAACGCUGGCGGCAGGCUUAACACAUGCAAGUCGAGCGCCCCGCAAGGGGAGCGGCAGACGGGUGAGUAACGCGUGGGGACGUACCUUUUGGUUCGGAACAACUCCGGGAAACUGGAGCUAAUACCGGAUAAGCCCUAACGGGGAAAGAUUUAUCGCCGAAAGAUCGGCCCGCGUCUGAUUAGCUAGUUGGUGAGGUAACGGCUCACCAAGGCGACGAUCAGUAGCUGGUCUGAGAGGAUGAUCAGCCACACUGGGACUGAGACACGGCCCAGACUCCUACGGGAGGCAGCAGUGGGGAAUAUUGGACAAUGGGCGCAAGCCUGAUCCAGCCAUGCCGCGUGAGUGAUGAAGGCCUUAGGGUUGUAAAGCUCUUUUGUCCGGGAAGAUAAUGACUGUACCGGAAGAAUAAGCCCCGGCUAACUUCGUG